Molecule: ribosomal RNA, 401 nt
Filed under: uncultured bacterium
Lineage: Bacteria
Description: bacterial SSU rRNA
Rfam family: Bacterial small subunit ribosomal RNA
Source: RNAcentral
UGGGGAAUCUUGGACAAUGGGCGCAAGCCUGAUCCAGCCAUGCCGCGUGAGUGAAGAAGGCCUUAGGGUUGUAAAGCUCUUUUGCCAGGGACGAUAAUGACGGUACCUGGAGAAUAAGCCCCGGCAAACUUCGUGCCAGCAGCCGCGGUAAUACGAAGGGGGCUAGCGUUGUUCGGAUUUACUGGGCGUAAAGCGCACGUAGGCGGGUCGUUAAGUCAGGGGUGAAAUCCCGGAGCUCAACUCCGGAACUGCCUUUGAUACUGGCGACCUUGAGGCUGGAAGAGGUUAGUGGAAUUCCCAGUGUAGAGGUGAAAUUCGUAGAUAUUGGGAAGAACACCAGUGGCGAAGGCGGCUAACUGGUCCAGAUCUGACGCUGAGGUGCGAAAGCGUGGGGAGCAAAC